RNAcentral lists this ribosomal RNA (47 nucleotides) under Pyricularia oryzae. RNAcentral's name for it is "partial 28S ribosomal RNA". The record is from RNAcentral. Lineage: Eukaryota; Fungi; Ascomycota; Sordariomycetes; Magnaporthales; Pyriculariaceae.
CCGAAUUAGGCUUUUAAAGGGGGGGGAAGGCCCCCGGGUACCUGGAA